CCUUAUCAAGAGCGGCUGAGGGUACAGGCCCGUUGAAGCCCGGCAACCUGUUUUUCAAGGUGCCAAUUCCUGCGGCGCGGCAAGGCCUGCUUGCUAAACCGAAAGAUGAG
Molecule: non-coding RNA, 110 nt
Filed under: human gut metagenome
Also listed under: 1 other name
Description: SAM riboswitch (S box leader)
Rfam family: SAM riboswitch aptamer (S box leader)
About the family: The SAM riboswitch is found upstream of a number of genes which code for proteins involved in methionine or cysteine biosynthesis in Gram-positive bacteria. The SAM riboswitch acts at the level of transcription termination control. The predicted structure consists of a complex stem-loop region followed by a single stem loop terminator region.
Source: RNAcentral